AUUGAACGCUGGCGGCAGGCCUAACACAUGCAAGUCGAGCGGAAGAAGGGAGCUUGCUCCUGGAUUCAGCGGCGGACGGGUGAGUAAUGCCUAGGAAUCUGCCUGGUAGCUGGGGAUAACGUCCGGAAACGGGCGCUAAUACCGCAUACGUCCUGAGGGAGAAAGUGGGGGAUCUUCGGACCUUACGCGAUCGGAUGAGCCUAGGUCGGAUUAGCUAGUUGGUGGGGUAAAGGCCUACCAAGGCGACGAUCCGUAACUGGUCUGAGAGGAUGAUCAGUCACACUGGAACUGAGACACGGUCCAGACUCCUACGGGAGGCAGCAGUGGGGAAUAUUGGACAAUGGGCGAAAGCCUGAUCCAGCCAUGCCGCGUGUGUGAAGAAGGUCUUCGGAUUGUAAAGCACUUUAAGUUGGGAAGAAGGGCAGUAAGUUAAUACCUUGCUGUUUUGACGUUACCAACAGAAUAAGCACCGGCUAACUUCGUG
Molecule: ribosomal RNA, 484 nt
Filed under: uncultured bacterium
Lineage: Bacteria
Description: partial 16S ribosomal RNA
Rfam family: Bacterial small subunit ribosomal RNA
Source: RNAcentral